UAAACAUUUACACUUGACUUUCGCUUCACUCUCACUUCAUUUUUAUUGAAUUUAACUUAUCUCAUUUACUGAAUCAAAAUGAAGUGAAAGUAAAGUGAGAGUGAAGCGAAAGUCAAGUUGAAUUCAAAGGCAAGUGAAGUGAAAGUAGAGUGAAAGUUUUUAUUUUAGUGAAAAUGAAGUGAAGGGAAAGGGAAGUUAAAAGAAUAGACCCCUCGAAGUGAAAGUGCAGUGUGAAAGUGAAGGUAUAAUAAAAAAGGAUUGAAAUGUGAAAGUAGAAUGAAAGUGAAAGUAAAUGUGAAGUGGAAAGUGAAAGUGGGGUGAAAGUGAAUGUGAAGUGAAAAUGGACUGAAAAUGGGGUGAAAUUACAUAAUCGAUUUAAGUAACUUGUUAUUGAAAGGGAUGCUGUGGGGUGAUUAAGCAUUAAGGACAUGUUUUAUAUGCUGACUGUAUGAAAAUAAUCCCUAUAAAUGCAAUAUGAUGAAUUGACUUCAGAUCACAAUGUUCAUACCUUGAGCGUUCUUAACUCUUUUUUUAUGGUAAGAAGAUUUCUUCUACUGCAAAUUUUCCCGAAUCGUCGUUAAAAUAAACGUUGAUAAUAAAUUCAUAAAAAUAUAAAAUAGGUUCAAAAGGAAAAAUUGUAAAAUUUGUUUUUCAUAUUCUUCCUUUUUUUUAUAAUAUACAAAGAGAUUAGACAUAAAAAUAUCCCCUAAUGAUCUUAAAGCUUCACAAUCUUCAAUUUUUUUUUUCUUUUUCGUGCAACGUCACUAUGUAUAUAUAUGAAAAGAGACGUUCCUCUCGUUAACGUCAAGGUCACGUCGACAUUGCAGAAUUUUAAUGGUACCCAGAAUGAAUCUCGGAGAUACUUGGGAUGCAGUGAAAUCACAGAAGAAGCAAGAAAACUAGGUUGAAUUUUGUCGAAGCCCCCGGAGAAUCGAAAUGUAACCUACAAAGCGCUGAGCGGUUUCUACGAUGAGGGGGACCAGACAGGAAAUUACGUCUCCGGACAUCCGCUUGAGCACUCCAUAGAACGGUCCGGGGAGAACGGAGAGGGCAACGACGCUCUUGACUUGGCUACGUUAGAGUUCAGAGGUCAAAAGGAAGAACGACUUCCGCGUUUGGAAGCGACAUGCUUUCAAAAGAAGCAAUACGUAGCGCGCGACGCAUUGAAUAAUAUACAAAAAAUAAAAAAAAAAAAAAAUUGCUCACACUCGCAGAAAUAUCGACUUUUUAAGGAAACCAGGGAAUUUUUAUCAAAAUUCAUGUAUUACGGAAUCUUAUCACAUUUCAAAUCUUUUUGAAAAAAAAAUCUCUUUCACUAACUUAAAUUUAGAAAUAAUAUAUAGAAAAUCAAAGUUUGCUGUUUUUUCUCUAACGAAAGUAUUUCCUCCAUAUUGGAUACGCCAUUUUGAAUUUUGGUACUCUACACAGGAAAUGAAAAGUGUUGUUUUAACCUGAAUUCGGGUGAAAACAACACUUUUCAUUUCCUGUGUAAUUAUGACGCGCUCUGAAAAAGACCAAAGGACCUAAGAAACAAAAUUGUUUUUAAUAUAUUUGUAAAUUUGAAGAAUGAAAAUAAAGGGCCCUUUUCCCAAGGGGCCGUUACAUUACCCCCCCCCUUAAGGACCGUUACGAUACGUAAAAAUAUAGGUCACAGUUGACCCAUUUUUUAACUUACAGGUCAAAAAGUGGUCCCAUAAAGCCCCACCCCCCCGGAGGGGCCUUUACAUUACUUCAAAAUUCAAAUCAUUGCAAAAGCGGUUAAGCGCCAAAAUUUGAAAUAAAUUUAUUUACACGUUUCCAUUUAAAAAGAUUUUUUUCUAAAUUGUAUUUUUAAAUUCGUUUUUAAAUUCGUUUUUUUUUAAUAUUUUGAAGUAAAUUUACAUUAUUCACAUAUUUUAACAUGUUUUUUAACAAAGAUUUUUUCUGAUAAUUUUUGUAAAGUAAAAACACUAUCGGUUACUUAACCUUCGUUCUUGCUGUAGAUAAGUUAUUAUUUAUUACUCUUUUGCUAUCUAUAUAAUUGUCCAAGUAUUUUUCUGUCAAUCUUAUAAAAGUCAAAUUACUACGAAGUAACUUACAUUUGUAAAUGUAACAAUAUUUAGAGAGUUGUAUAAUUAUAAAGGCUCAAAAUUUUUAAUUAAAAAAAAGUCAAAAUGCCACAAUUUCUACGUGUGAAUUUUAUAUUCAUUUUGUUAAUAAUAUUCAUUAUUGACUAUACCUAUGUAAAUGCAAGCUUUUCUGGAUCUACCUUAAGAUGUCCGGAAAACAAGAAUGGAAUGUGUAAAUUAAAUUGCAAUAAGUCUAGCGACAAAGCGGAUGGUAUUAAAGGAUGUAGUAAAAAUCGGAUGGGAAACGCAAUGACUUGUUGUGUUGCACUCGGCUGAGGGUAAUGUUUAAAAGAAAAUAUAUUUAUAAAAGACAAAUAAUGAAAUGUUAAUUGAUCAUAUCAAUCAUUAUUAUAGCGUAAAAAUGAAAAAUAAAAUUUAUAUGGGAAAAACAAAAUAAAAUUUUUCUAGCAACCUUGAA
Molecule: long non-coding RNA, 2526 nt
Organism: Leptopilina heterotoma
Lineage: Eukaryota; Metazoa; Arthropoda; Insecta; Hymenoptera; Figitidae
Exons: 2
Source: RefSeq, a predicted model, not a curated record